Molecule: ribosomal RNA, 465 nt
Filed under: uncultured bacterium
Lineage: Bacteria
Description: partial 16S ribosomal RNA
Rfam family: Bacterial small subunit ribosomal RNA
Source: RNAcentral
GACGAACGCUGGCGGCGUGCUUAACACAUGCAAGUCGAACGGAAAGGCCCCUUUGGGGGUACUCGAGUGGCGAACGGGUGAGUAACACGUGAGUAACCUGCCCUUGACUUCGGGAUAACUUCAGGAAACUGGGGCUAAUACCGGCUAGGAAUCCUUGCUGCAUGGUGGGGGUUGGAAAGCUUCGGCGGUUUUGGAUGGACUCACGGCUUAUCAGCUUGUUGGUGGGGUAGUGGCUUACCAAGGCUUUGACGGGUAGCCGGCCUGAGAGGGCGACCGGCCACAUUGGGACUGGGGUACGGCCCAGACUCCUACGGGAGGCAGCAGUGGGGAAUAUUGCACAAUGGGCGGAAGCCUGAUGCAGCAACGCCGCGUGCGGGAUGACGGCCUUCGGGUUGUAAACCGCUUUCAGCAGGGGCGAAGCUUGUGGUGACGGUACCUGCAGAAGAAGCACCGGCUAACUACGUG